This 410-nucleotide ribosomal RNA is filed under the name uncultured Nitrososphaerota archaeon. Its description in RNAcentral is "bacterial SSU rRNA". It matches the Rfam family "Archaeal small subunit ribosomal RNA", at positions 451 to 861 of the family's 1478-position model. The record is from RNAcentral. Lineage: Archaea; Thermoproteati; Nitrososphaerota.
UCUGGUGUCAGCCGCCGCGGUAAAACCAGCACCUCAAGUGGUCAGGAUGAUUAUUGGGCCUAAAGCAUCCGUAGCCUGCUUUGUUAGUUUUCGGUUAAAUCCAUACGCUCAACGUAUGGGCUGCCGGGAAUACUGCAAAGCUAGGGAGUGGGAGAGGUGGACGGUACUCGGUAGGAAGGGGUAAAAUCCUUUGAUCUAUUGAUGACCACCUGUGGCGAAGGCGGUCUACCAGAACACGUCCGACGGUGAGGGAUGAAAGCUGGGGGAGCAAACCGGAUUAGAUACCCGGGUAGUCCCAGCUGUAAACUAUGCAAACUCGGUGAUGCAUUGGCUUGAUGCCAAUGCAGUGCCGCAGGGAAGCCGUUAAGUUUGCCGCCUGGGAAGUACGUACGCAAGUAUGAAACUUAAAG